GGCCAGCCCAACCCCGCGCCUGCGCGGUGCCCCCUGCAUGUCGCCCAUGCCCGGCAGAGGGCGCUCUGGGUUGCGCGUGCGCAGUCGGCCACCCUGCGAGUACGCGGUUCCCACCCGGCCGCGCGGCAGCCCGUGCCUGCGCACUGCUCUGUGCCCGCGCCUAUGUCCAGCAGGGGGCGCGCAGCGGCGGUAGCCGAGCGAGGGCGCGGUGGCCUCUGACAGGAAUGACUCUGCGCACGUGGGUUUCACAGCAGUGGAAGUCUUCACACCCGGAAACUCGACUUUGGCCGUUUCUCCAUUUCUCCUUACGCACUGUCUUUCCUUGGGCCCUCGUCACUCCUGGCACCGAGGGAAGGGCUUCCCCGCCUCUGGCAGGGCGCUGGGGCGCGACCGAAGGCAAGGCGGCGGCGAGGAACCUUCUGGAAUUCGGCCGUCGGGGCAGGCGUCGAGUUUACAGGAGAAGGCGCGGUGUCCCGGGAUGAGCGGAGUCGCCCUCAGUUAAGGAGCGAGGAAGGCCUCGGGGGUCCCCAGCCGGGGAGACUGGAAGAAAUUAAAGUGUUCUAAAUGGAAGAGCAUUCACCACAUGUGUUCUGUUUUGGGUUGACAUUUAGCUUUUGUUUUUAUUUUAGAAACAGAAGACUCUGGUAGCAAUCCUUGAAAUCUUGAUGCCAUUGCUAUUUUCUGCAUUGUAUUGUAUCUUCGUUUUAGUAGUGCUCCAAUAAAAAGACCUGCCACUAGCUGCCAUGCAA
Long non-coding RNA from Pan troglodytes (chimpanzee), 749 nucleotides. RefSeq lists it as uncharacterized. NCBI's taxonomy places the organism in Eukaryota, Metazoa, Chordata, Mammalia, Primates, Hominidae. The transcript is spliced from 2 exons. The record is from RefSeq and is a predicted model, not a curated record.